This 458-nucleotide ribosomal RNA is filed under the name uncultured bacterium. Its description in RNAcentral is "partial 16S ribosomal RNA". It matches the Rfam family "Bacterial small subunit ribosomal RNA", at positions 338 to 795 of the family's 1533-position model. The record is from RNAcentral.
CCUACGGGAGGCAGCAGUGAGGAAUAUUGGUCGAUGGGCGAGAGCCUGAACCAGCCAAGUCGCGUGAGGGAGUACUGCCCUAUGGGUUGUAAACCUCUUUUGUCGGGGAGCAAAAGCCGGACGUGUCCGGCUGUGAGAGUACCCGAAGAAAAAGCAUCGGCUAACUCCGUGCCAGCAGCCGCGGUAAUACGGAGGAUGCGAGCGUUAUCCGGAUUUAUUGGGUUUAAAGGGUGCGCAGGCGGAUUUUUAAGUCAGCGGUAAAAUCGUGGGGCUCAACCCCAUCCAGCCGUUGAAACUGGGGAUCUAGAGUGUGCGAGAGGUAUGCGGAAUGCGUGGUGUAGCGGUGAAAUGCAUAGAUAUCACGCAGAACCCCGAUUGCGAAGGCAGCAUACCGGUGCACAACUGACGCUCAGGCACGAAAGCGUGGGUAUCGAACAGGAUUAGAUACCCCGGUAGUC